This 31-nucleotide non-coding RNA is filed under the name Mus musculus (house mouse). Lineage: Eukaryota; Metazoa; Chordata; Mammalia; Rodentia; Muridae. The record is from RNAcentral.
UACCUGCUUACCAUCAACAUCGAAACUUGCC